GCAGGUUUACAGCAGUUGCUAAUUCAUACGAUUUAGAGGAAAGUCCGAACACCUUAGGAUAGGAUGCCGGGUAAUUCCCGGAAGUUGUUUUGAGUAAUCUAACAACUAUGGAAAGUGCCACAGAAACAUACCGCCAUAGAGAUAUGGUAAGGGUGAAAAGGCCGGGUAAGAGCCGGCCCCUGUCUUGGUAACAAUACAGCCAUUACGGCUGGAGCAUAUGCUUCAGGCAGGCAAACCCCAUCCGGUGCAAGGUCAAGCAGGAAUCAGCCUUUUGGCAGGUGCUAUCCGCACUCUGGUUCCGGGUAGACCGCUGGAAGUAAGUUAAUAACUUGCUUUAGAUAAAUAACUGCUCUCCGCAAGGAUACAGAAUUCGGCUUAUGUAUUUCUGAGUUU
RNAcentral lists this RNase P RNA (393 nucleotides) under Ignavibacteriaceae bacterium. RNAcentral's name for it is "RNase P RNA component class A". It matches the Rfam family "Bacterial RNase P class A". Rfam says of the family: Ribonuclease P (RNase P) is a ubiquitous endoribonuclease, found in archaea, bacteria and eukarya as well as chloroplasts and mitochondria. Its best characterised activity is the generation of mature 5'-ends of tRNAs by cleaving the 5'-leader elements of precursor-tRNAs. Lineage: Bacteria; Pseudomonadati; Ignavibacteriota; Ignavibacteria; Ignavibacteriales; Ignavibacteriaceae. The record is from RNAcentral.